GCCAGGUGUGGUGGCGCAUGCCUGUAGUCCCAGCCACUUGGAAGGCUGAGGUGGGAGGAUCACUUGAGCCCAGGAGUUUGAGGCUGCAGUGAGCUGUGAUCAUGCCACUGCACUCCAGCCUGGGCAACAAAGUAAGAGCCUGUCUCAA
Callithrix jacchus (white-tufted-ear marmoset) is the source of this 148-nucleotide unclassified non-coding RNA. It matches the Rfam family "Metazoan signal recognition particle RNA". From Rfam's summary of the family: The signal recognition particle (SRP) is a universally conserved ribonucleoprotein. It is involved in the co-translational targeting of proteins to membranes. The record is from Ensembl. NCBI's taxonomy places the organism in Eukaryota, Metazoa, Chordata, Mammalia, Primates, Cebidae.